RNAcentral lists this ribosomal RNA (371 nucleotides) under uncultured bacterium. Its description in RNAcentral is "bacterial SSU rRNA". It matches the Rfam family "Bacterial small subunit ribosomal RNA", at positions 527 to 896 of the family's 1533-position model. The record is from RNAcentral.
GGGGGGGGCAAGCGUUGUUCGGAAUUACUGGGCGUAAAGGGCGCGUAGGCGGCCUGCUAAGUCACACGUGAAAUCCCUCGGCUCAACCGGGGAACUGCGUGUGAUACUGGCGGGCUUGAAUUCGGGAGAGGGAUGUGGAAUUCCAGGUGUAGCGGUGAAAUGCGUAGAUAUCUGGAGGAACACCGGUGGCGAAGGCGGCAUCCUGGACCGAGAUUGACGCUGAGGCGCGAAAGCUAGGGGAGCAAACGGGAUUAGAUACCCCGGUAGUCCUAGCCCUAAACGAUGAGUGCUUGGUGUGGCGGGUAUCGAUCCCUGCCGUGCCGAAGCUAACGCAUUAAGCACUCCGCCUGGGGAGUACGGUCGCAAGGCUG